UGGGGAAUAUUGGACAAUGGGCGCAAGCCUGACCGAGCGACGCCGCGUGCGGGAUGAAGGCCCUAGGGUUGUAAACCGCUGUCAGUAGGGAGGAAAUGCAUCAGGGCACUCUCUGGUGUUUGACCGAUCUGCAGAGGAAGGCCGGGCUAAGUUCGUGCCAGCAGCCGCGGUAAGACGAACCGGUCGAACGUUAUUCGGAAUCACUGGGCUUAAAGAGUGCGUAGGCGGCUUUGCAGGUGAGGUGUGAAAUCCCCCGGCCCAACCGGGGAACUGCGCUUCAAACCGUGAGGCUUGAGGGAGAUAGAGGUGAGCGGAACUGAUGGUGGAGCGGUGAAAUGCGUUGAUAUCAUCAGGAACACCUGUGGCGAAAGCGGCUCACUGGAUCUCUUCUGACGCUGAGGCACGAAAGCUAGGGUAGCGAACAGGAUUAGAUACCCCUGUAGUCC
This 446-nucleotide ribosomal RNA is filed under the name uncultured prokaryote. RNAcentral describes it as "bacterial SSU rRNA". It matches the Rfam family "Bacterial small subunit ribosomal RNA", at positions 355 to 796 of the family's 1533-position model. The record is from RNAcentral.